AACGAACGCUGGCGGCAUGCCUAACACAUGCAAGUCGAACGAGACCUUCGGGUCUAGUGGCGCACGGGUGCGUAACGCGUGGGAACCUGCCCUUAGGUUCGGAAUAACUCCCCGAAAGGGGUGCUAAUACCGGAUAAUGUCUUCGGACCAAAGAUUUAUCGCCUUUGGAUGGGCCCGCGUUGGAUUAGCUAGUUGGUAGGGUAAAAGCCUACCAAGGCGACGAUCCAUAGCUGGUCUGAGAGGAUGAUCAGCCACACUGGGACUGGGACACGGCCCGGACUCCUACGGGAGGCAGCAGUGGGGAAUAUUGGACAAUGGGCGAAAGCCUGAUCCAGCAAUGCCGCGUGAGUGAUGAAGUCCUUAGGGUUGUAAAGCUCUUUUACCCGGGAUGAUAAUGACAGUACCGGGAGAAUAAGCUCCGGCUAACUCCGUG
This 433-nucleotide ribosomal RNA is filed under the name uncultured bacterium. Its description in RNAcentral is "partial 16S ribosomal RNA". It matches the Rfam family "Bacterial small subunit ribosomal RNA", at positions 29 to 507 of the family's 1533-position model. The record is from RNAcentral.